This 74-nucleotide transfer RNA is filed under the name Variovorax sp. RA8. Its description in RNAcentral is "tRNA-His". It matches the Rfam family "tRNA". Rfam says of the family: Transfer RNA (tRNA) molecules are approximately 80 nucleotides in length. Their secondary structure includes four short double-helical elements and three loops (D, anti-codon, and T loops). The record is from RNAcentral. Lineage: Bacteria; Pseudomonadati; Pseudomonadota; Betaproteobacteria; Burkholderiales; Comamonadaceae.
GCGGCCGUAGCUCAAGGGCAGAGCCGCGGGUUGUGAUCCCGCUGAUUCGGGUUCGAGUCCCGGCAGUCGCCCCA